UCCCGUUAAACACCAUCCUGUUUCAGUCUCUCUCCACCUAGCUGGCAAUGAAAGAAAAGAACUUGAACAGUGAGACAAUGGCAUGUUUAUCUCCGCAUCCUGUUAAACACCAUCCUGUUUCAGUCUCUCUCCACCUAGCUGGCAAUGAUGUGGCACGAUUACAUGGCAUUUCUCUCUUUCCACUCCCGUCUGCAUCUAUCCGCCCGACGACUGUGGUCUUUCUCCGCUUUUGACCGGAGGCGCUUCUUUAACGUCUGGAGUUUGGAAACAUUUUUUUUCCAUUGUGCAUCCUUCAUGGAGAAAGAAAAGAACUUGAACAGUGAGACAAUGGCAUGUCUAUCUCCACCACAUUCG
This 354-nucleotide long non-coding RNA is filed under the name Selaginella moellendorffii. Its description in RNAcentral is "long non-coding RNA (SMOE_LNC000416)". Lineage: Eukaryota; Viridiplantae; Streptophyta; Lycopodiopsida; Selaginellales; Selaginellaceae. The record is from RNAcentral.